AUGCUUACUUUGCAGCACAUAUGCUAAAACUGGAACCAUACAAAGAAGAUUAGCAUGGCCCCUGUGCAAAAAUGACACACUAAUUCAUGAAGUAUUUGAAUAGUUU
Molecule: small nuclear RNA, 106 nt
Organism: Cynocephalus volans (Philippine flying lemur)
Lineage: Eukaryota; Metazoa; Chordata; Mammalia; Dermoptera; Cynocephalidae
Source: RefSeq, a predicted model, not a curated record